UUCCUGUUUUUCAUGUGGCUGUAAAGCCUGUGAAAUUAUGGCCUCCAGCUGCACCCAAUAUACUAUAUCAUUUUCAUUAUUUGAAUUAUCAAUAUGAAGGUUAUAUAGCAAUUCGACCUGCGACAUUUGAUCAUGUUGGACCUGUUUUCUUAAUGGUAUAUUUGAACUCAGGAUCUGUGUUAUAGAAUCUAUCAUGCUGGUUAUAAGGUCCUUCUUACAUUACUGAAUGCGAGGUUACAUUAGUGAGCUAAACUUUCACACAAUGCCUAUAUGUUACACAAUCUUGCUCAUGUGGAGGUGUGGAGCAGAACGCCAUUGAUUGGCAUGGGAUAAUGUUCUCAGAGGCUGGCUUUGCUUGGAUUCAGGUAAUCAGGCUACGCUUUUACCUCAAAGGCAUGAAAUUCACCGAAAGUAGAACAAAUAUUAAGUCAAGGUACCAACAUUGGUGGGUCGGCUGAUGGGUCAAAACGUGUUUGGAUUGCAGCAGGCACAUCAUUUAGCAUGUCAGGAAAGCAAGAGGGUUCCUUGUUGUGUUGAUGCACGUUGAUGUGACAACAGCAACUUAGAUUUGAUAUGUCGUUUAGAUUAAGAC
Long non-coding RNA from Erigeron canadensis, 592 nucleotides. RefSeq lists it as uncharacterized. NCBI's taxonomy places the organism in Eukaryota, Viridiplantae, Streptophyta, Magnoliopsida, Asterales, Asteraceae. The record is from RefSeq and is a predicted model, not a curated record. The transcript has 3 exons.